CUAAACUAAUAAUCAACUAAUUAAGCCCCCUAAACUAAUAAUGAACUAAUCAAAAAAUUAAAAAUCAAUCAGUAAUAUAAGCAGUUUCAAAAAAAAAAAAUUCAGUUUUUACUUCUCCUUCUUCAAACUCUUUGGGAGUGAAAUAAUGCUAUGUUGAACAACUUCAACAUCACAACACAACCACAGAUCCUCCAGCCGCUGCCCACCACGUCCGCGACGCACCCCUGUGCACCGCUCCUCCGGCCGCCGGCCGCUUGCCUUAUUCGCGAGCCCAACGCGCCUCUGGUAACCACAGCGCCGCCACUGGUCCUUGCUUGUAUCCACCCCGCGCUCGACCCCAAGCGUCGCCACUCCUCACUCUGGCAUCGCCGCCCUUGGUCGCCCUUCUUGCAGCAACCGCGCCUCCGUCCUUGUCUGGCGUCACUCAGAUCUGGAUUCAACAGUGAAACCGCCACUAGGAACAACAACAAUAGCAGUAUGGGUCUGGUCUUUUGCAUCCUGGGGAUCAGAUUAUGGGUGAGGUUGGGGGUGGUGGGUUAGGUUGGAGGCGGUGGCUGUGGGUGUUGAAGAUGAGGUUGGGGAUCGAACACUGCCCCAAUUCCAUUGCUUCUUCUCUCCUCCGUCCAAAUUGUUCAAUUCUUUUGCAGCAAAUUCAUAUCAGAAUCUCUGGUUGUGGCUUAAUUUGCUGCUGAAGUGGGAAUUUGGAUAAAGGCCGUGGAGUGUUAUCUUGAUGAAAUUGAAGAAGUGUUGUUUGUCUAUUUAAAGACUAAGUCUUAUCACCCUGUCUUAAUUCUUUGUGUUGCGAAUGGGUCCUGUGUUUGUAAUUGCUUGAAGGUUGUAGUUUUUGUAUUUUGAAACAGUGUUUAUCCAAGUGUGGGAACCAGCUCUUGUAGUUUUCCUUUUC
Long non-coding RNA from Lotus japonicus, 904 nucleotides. RefSeq lists it as uncharacterized. The record is from RefSeq and is a predicted model, not a curated record. NCBI's taxonomy places the organism in Eukaryota, Viridiplantae, Streptophyta, Magnoliopsida, Fabales, Fabaceae. The transcript has 2 exons.